This is a long non-coding RNA of Salvelinus fontinalis (brook trout), 717 nucleotides long. RefSeq lists it as uncharacterized. The transcript has 5 exons. Lineage: Eukaryota; Metazoa; Chordata; Actinopteri; Salmoniformes; Salmonidae. The record is from RefSeq and is a predicted model, not a curated record.
CAUUAGUUAUGCAUUCUGCAUGUACAAACUGCAGUUAUCAGAAUUAAAGCAAAUGCAGAUAUCCCUAUCUAUCCUCAUUGAAUGCUGUCUUGACAGUCUACUUCAGUGCAGACCCCUCAGAUCCACAAAAGGCCUCCAAUCAUUGUGAGCUAUGGGCAGGACCAAACAUCUGGGGAAGGAUGGAGCGUCAAUCCAGAGCCUCUCAGCCAGUCUGGAAGGGUGACUCGGCUGAUAGAGAGAAAAAAUGAUGACGUGAUCUCAUCCUCCAGUUCUGAUGACUUUUCCAUCUACUCCUUCACUGACUGUGAAUCGGAGUGUGAUGAUGAGGAUCAUGAAAGCAGGACACCACCUCUGAAAGUUGAGAAUGGAAAGGUGACAAAGCUUGACGUGAGGGAUAUGGACGAGGAUGAUGAUCUGUCUCUCCACUCCUUCGAUGAGUCAGACUUCCUGAGCCCAGGGAAGGUCUCAGGUCCUGUAUCUGUCAAGAAUGGCCUCUCUCCUCUUGUGACCUCAGCACACCGGACCCAGGCUGAAGCCCUACGGGCCCUGCCCUCUGCUGUAGGCUCUCCCUACCCAGUAAAUGUCCCAAGGCCUCUGACUCCUCUCAGCCCUGUCAUUAUCGCUCCGCCCCGAACAGAGAACUUCCUAUACCGCCACAGCCCUCGCCUGGCUCCCAUCACCAACCUGAGCGAGACCGGCAGGAAGGUGCUCCAGGAA